GAUUUCUGACUUGGCGCACCUGGCCCGCCACGGUAACGUGUGUGAGUGCCGGGAUGCGCCUGUCACUUAUUCUAGUAAACUAUUAUGCUCUUCACUGAGUAUGAUAGGUAGCUAGAUAUUUUACUUUGAAAAAAUUAGAGUGUUUAAAGCAGGCGUCUUGCUAUGAAUACAUUAGCAUGGAAUAAUAAGUUAGGACUUCGGUUCUAUUUUGUUGGUUUCUAGGACUGAAGUAAUGAUUGAUAGGGAUAGUUGGGGGUGCUAGUAUUCAGCGGCCAGAGGUGAAAUUCUUGGAUUCGCUGAAGACUAACUUAUGCGAAAGCAUU
RNAcentral lists this ribosomal RNA (323 nucleotides) under uncultured Allapsidae. Its description in RNAcentral is "SSU rRNA". It matches the Rfam family "Eukaryotic small subunit ribosomal RNA", at positions 634 to 955 of the family's 1831-position model. Lineage: Eukaryota; Cercozoa; Glissomonadida; Viridiraptoridae. The record is from RNAcentral.